AUUGGGAGCACAAUUUUCAAAGGACGAACAGAAGCGGAUACUUUCCUAAGGUCAUAUUAAAGAUGUACAGCCCAAAGCGGAAAAACUCCCUGCCCGGUUCCAAGAUGAAUGCUUCCUUGUACCACGUGUCUGACGCCGCUUACUCUCGGUUCCACGUCAGGUUUAGCUCCGUCAGCCUCCAUUAGUCACGUUUAAAGGGGCAGUACCCCGAGUUUACUCUGGGACGCCUCUGGAGCUGGGAAGAUGGCUACUGGAUGCAAUGGGGAGGGCAGGAGGGGUGAGGAUGUGGAGAAGCGCCUGCUCUUUGUAGAAAACCCGUUGCUAACAUAGUCGGAAACCAAGGCUCUUAGGUGGCAAGUGAUUUCCAUUCCUGAGAGCGGAAAUCAUCACCAGGUAGUUGGAGAGGACUCAAGAAUGCUGACACUUUGUCUACUCUCUUGUUUUGUUUUGGGAAGGGGGAGGGGGAUUAGGUUGGUUGGUUGGUUGGUUGGUUGGUUUAUAAUGGAAGUACUGGAGAUAGUUUUGAGAAGCGGGAGGUAAUUGAGUUUAUUUAUUUAUUUAUUUAUAAUGAAAGUACUGGGGAUUGAACCCAGGACCUUGUACAUGAUAAACAUGCACUCUACCACUGAGCUAUACCCUCCCCCAGUCUACUCUUUUGAGUAUGCGCCAGGAGUCAGGGUUGGGUUGACUCUUUUUAGGCCAAAGAUAGCCCCUCCUGUCUCAAAACCAGGUGUGAAUGUCCUUUCUACUCAAAGGCCGCUCUAAUUAACAACACAAAACCAUAUAUGUAUAAAAUAUUUUAUAUAUAUAAAGUAAUCCCAAAAUUACUUGAUAAUAGUAUUCCACCAAAUUUCCAGUACUUAUCCCACUAGUAUUGUUUUUCUGUGCAUUUGUGGAUGUGCAUGAGUGCGCAAAUGUGCCUCUUUGACUGGAAAUUCCCUAAAGGCAAGUGUUUUCUGUUGCACAGGGUGUCCCCAUGGUGCUAAGGACACACAGAUAUCUGUAUACAAGGCAUCAUCACACAUAAUGAGUCUGGAUCUGAAAGAGGUACAGAGGGCAAUAGGAGUGCAUGGAGGGAGCAAUUAGUUGUGACCAGGGGAAGAGAAGACCUUGAGGAAGAGUAGUAUCUCCAAAGAUUUCAGUAGGUGGCAAGGAUGGAAGGGUCUUCUGAACAGGGAAAGUAAGACUCCAGAAGCAGGUGGAAAGAAGGAGCUUGUGGGAGCCCCAGCAGAGGCACAUUCAGUUAUCUUAUGGAUCAGGAGCAGGCUGAAACUCCCUGAAGGUCUGAGGAACAGUCUGCAUCUAUUUCCUGUUUUAUUAGGAAGCCAAUCCUAAUAAAUCUUACUUCUCUGCCUGGCAUUGAGAACCUUUGUCUCUUUCUUCUCCAGAGAUCAUUAACCCUCCCCAACAAUCCCUGCUGGACGAGGGUGGGGGACUUGGUCUAAAAAAGACACUGGGGACUCAUCGUCCACACAUAUGUUACCAUCAACAUGGUUACUUGGAUACUUGUUGUGUAAUCUGAAUAUUUUUGUUCCCAUUAUAGUAAAUGCACAGUUGAUUCCCAGACUCACCAGGAGAAACAAACACAUGACCUGGCCACACUUGAAAUUUUGUGCCUGUCCUAGUACAAGUUCAAAGCAUUUGCCUGAAGGCUGGAGCUGGUCCUAGGGCUUACAGAUCAGGAGUCUUCAUCAUAUUAAAGCACCUUGAUUGAAUACUUGGGAAGAGAGAUGCAUAAGACAGGGUCCCCACUCUCAAGCAGUUCUCUGGUGAAUGGGAAAACAGACAUACAAACAACCAGCUAGACUACAAGGGAGAAUGAAAUAAGUGCUAGAGGUCUAAGUAACAAGCCGAUGGAAGACUGGGAGGACUAACUAAGGAAACUCACAUAAGACUGAAAUUGUGAAGCAGUAUCUGGCAGCAAAGGACCAAGUGCUCAGUGGAGGAGUUGAAAUAAACCCAAGAACUCGGAGAACUGAGAUGAAUACUGAAGAAGGGUUCUUGGGGGAAGAGGGUCUUCAUUGUGAAAUCACCUGGACAACUUCCCACAUAACCUGCUCCCGAGCCCUAGUUGGUCUGCCCACUGACAGCUUCCUUCUGCAUCCCUGAGUUCUCUCCUCCCUUCAUUUCAUGCCCUCUCCCCUCAAGAUUAAAAAUCCACACUCUUGGAA
Molecule: non-coding RNA, 2171 nt
Organism: Vicugna pacos (alpaca)
Lineage: Eukaryota; Metazoa; Chordata; Mammalia; Artiodactyla; Camelidae
Source: RefSeq, a predicted model, not a curated record